UGGGGGCGUGUCCGUCUGCUUUCAGCCUUUGGCAAGUUGGUGGGAGCUAAAAUCAGUCAUUUUCCUGCGAAGGCCUGAGGAGGAAAAGAGAGGCAGUAACUGAGCAAUAAUAUGCUGUAUGAGCCUCCUGCUCUGCUGCCCAUUACCUGCGUCACCUCCACAAGCUACUGAACCUCAAGGAACCCAUCUCCUCAUCAGGAAAAAAAAUAAGCUUUAUCAGGGUCUGAACUCUGUAGGUCUUCACCACGGCUCAGGAGGAUGAGGAGCAGUGACAGGCCAAACUACGAGAAAAGACAGAGGGAAUCAAACUCAACACUGCGUCUAAACCUCCUCCACCACUGUUGAAGGGAUCCUGGCAUCAGAUGGGGAACAGCUCUAAAUCAAAAUAACCUCACUACUGUGCUCUUCUGUAAAACCAGGCAAAGAUCAGACAAACAUGA
RNAcentral lists this non-coding RNA (440 nucleotides) under Pongo abelii (Sumatran orangutan). The record is from RNAcentral. Lineage: Eukaryota; Metazoa; Chordata; Mammalia; Primates; Hominidae.